UCAAACACUGUCUAAUGAAGACUACUAUGACUGCGUAGACGAUAUUUCUUCAUGGGCUUUUGAGUUUGUUUCGGAAUCCGAGAGUGAAGAGGCAUCCGAGGUUAUUGAAGAAGACUCCAUAGUUUCAACAAAAUCGCCAGAG
Long non-coding RNA from Neltuma alba, 142 nucleotides. RefSeq lists it as uncharacterized. The record is from RefSeq and is a predicted model, not a curated record. NCBI's taxonomy places the organism in Eukaryota, Viridiplantae, Streptophyta, Magnoliopsida, Fabales, Fabaceae. The transcript has 2 exons.